This 49-nucleotide ribosomal RNA is filed under the name Mycosphaerella sp. CBS 209.94. RNAcentral describes it as "partial 18S ribosomal RNA". It matches the Rfam family "Eukaryotic small subunit ribosomal RNA", at positions 1783 to 1831 of the family's 1831-position model. The record is from RNAcentral. RNAcentral also lists the same sequence under 1 other name. Lineage: Eukaryota; Fungi; Ascomycota; Dothideomycetes; Mycosphaerellales; Mycosphaerellaceae.
UAAAAGUCGUAACAAGGUCUCCGUAGGUGAACCUGCGGAGGGAUCAUUA